Molecule: transfer RNA, 72 nt
Filed under: Candidatus Uhrbacteria bacterium
Lineage: Bacteria; Candidatus Uhriibacteriota
Description: tRNA-Arg
Rfam family: tRNA
About the family: Transfer RNA (tRNA) molecules are approximately 80 nucleotides in length. Their secondary structure includes four short double-helical elements and three loops (D, anti-codon, and T loops).
Source: RNAcentral
GCCCCUGUAGCUCAAUGGAUAGAGUGUAGGUUUGCGGAACCUGAGAUCCAGGUUCAAUUCCUGGCAGGGGCA